This 343-nucleotide ribosomal RNA is filed under the name Culex pedroi. RNAcentral describes it as "eukaryotic LSU rRNA". The stretch from base 1 to 97 matches the Rfam family "5.8S ribosomal RNA", at positions 56 to 154 of the family's 154-position model. The record is from RNAcentral. Lineage: Eukaryota; Metazoa; Arthropoda; Insecta; Diptera; Culicidae.
CGCGUCAGAAUGUGAACUGCAGGACACAUGAACACCGACAAGUUGAACGCAUAUUGCACAUCGUACAACAGUACGAUGUACACAUUUUUGAGUGCCUAUAUUUACCCAUUUAACUAUACGCGGGCUUACCCGGGCCCCGUAUGCGGAGUGACGUUUUCCCGCCUUCAGUGUGCGAUAAAACGUUCAAGAUAGUCAAACACAGGACCGAGCACCCAGUGCGCGCGCCCCGUGGUUGAUGAGUACACCCCACUUGCUGGACCUGGUUCCACUUGCGUUGUGCUUCAUCAUCAACACCCACUUGACAAAACCAACCCACCCAUGUGGGCCUCAAAUAAUGUGUGAC